RNAcentral lists this ribosomal RNA (1542 nucleotides) under Triticum aestivum (bread wheat). RNAcentral describes it as "partial small subunit ribosomal RNA". Lineage: Eukaryota; Viridiplantae; Streptophyta; Magnoliopsida; Poales; Poaceae. The record is from RNAcentral.
AUGCUAGCCCUGGCCCGGACGGUUUUGGCCCUGGGUUCUACAGAAAAUUUUGGCAUAUUCUCAAAGAAAAAAUCCGCAAUUUCUUCGCUGAUUUCCACGCCCUGCGUUCGGACCUAUCCUGCCUCAACUGCGCCCCCAAAUGACUUUCGCCCCAUCUCCCUUCAAAAUUGCCCUAUCAAAGGUGUUGCUAAACUCCUUACCAACAGACUGAAAGCGCAUAUCCCUCUUCUGGUCCACGCCGACCAAACUGGCUUCCUGUCUGGUCGCAAUAUCUCCGAAAACUUCCUCUACGCCGCUGACAUUCUUCACUGCUGCGCCAAGAAAAAGGCUCCAGCCAUUGUCGUCAAGCUGGACUUUCGGAAAGCGUUUGACUCAAUCUGUUGGUCCUCCCUCCUCCACACCCUACAGGUUAGGGGCUUCCCACCUCGCUGGUGUGCCUGGAUCCGAUCUCUGCUUACCACUGGAUCCACCGCUGUUAUGCUUAAUGGCAUCCCAGGUAAGUGGAUCCAAUGCAAGAACGGACUCCGGCAAGGUGACCCCCUAUCUCCUUAUCUGUUCAUUAUUAUGGCCGAUAUUCUACAGCAAAUGAUCAUUAACGCUCAUAAGGAUGGUACGCUUUUACACCCCUUGUGUCCCCACCUCCCGUGCCCUGUUCUGCAAUAUGCGGAUAACACUCUUAUCAUAGUUAAAGCCACCACGACUCCUGCCAAGCACCUCAAACACAUUCUAGACACCUUUGCCGCAGCCACUGGUCUUCAAAUCAACUUCACCAAAACGACUUUCAUCCCCCUUAACGUGGAUCCGCAGGAGGCCGCUCUUAUGGCCUCUGACCUUAGAACGACCAUCUCUUCCUUUCCUCAAACCUACCUAGGUCUACCCCUCUCCCCGCAUAAGCUGCCGCCCUCUGCCUUUCAGCCGGUCAUCGAUCGAUGCGACACCUAUCUGGCUGGCUGGUGUGCCCUACUCCUCUCGCGUGGAGGCAAAUUAGUUCUCCUCUCUGCCGUCCUAGACAGUCUCCCCACGUAUUUUAUGCUCUGUUUUUCUCUGCCCGUCCAGGUUAUUGAAGCAAUAGAUAAACGUAGACGCUCCUUCUUCUGGUCCAACGAUGAUACCUGCUCGGGGGCUAAAUGCUUGGUGGCUUGGGAUAAAGUGUGCACUCCUAGAGAUGCAGGUGGUUUGGGUGUUAAAAACCUUCGCGCACAAAAUUUUUAUUUACUGCUGAAAUUUGCCUACAAAUUUUUACAUUCCUCCUCCCUCCCUUGGAAGGAUUGGGUUUUGCAUCACUCACCGCUCCACAUUGGCUUUGGCAAGAACAACUCCUUUCUUGCCAAGACUAUUUUCAAACACCUACAGAGCUUGAGAGAGAUUUCCCAGUGCACUGUUGGAGAUGGUUGCUCCACCUUCUUCUGGUUAGACCGAUGGCUAAAGCCAGAACCUCUGGCUAUAGUCUACCCAGCCCUAUUUUCCCACCAUACAAAACAAAAUGCCUUGGUAGUUACAAUUAUGCAGGAGGGGUCGAACUUGCUCUUCGUAAUUGGCUAA